This 325-nucleotide unclassified non-coding RNA is filed under the name Hevea brasiliensis (rubber tree). The record is from RNAcentral. Lineage: Eukaryota; Viridiplantae; Streptophyta; Magnoliopsida; Malpighiales; Euphorbiaceae.
GCGGAAUCCAGACUAGGAAAAUAAUUGACACAGCUGAGAGGGUUGGUUCAUCACUGUUUUAGUACAUAACAAUCUAAAAUCACCAAAGCUUAGAAGAAAGUGUCCACGCGGACUAAUAUCAACCUCCGCGGGCUUCUCUUCUGGUCGCAUCAUGAAGGAUUUCAGUGUCCACGCCGUCAGGGGGGAGUUGGACAUACCUCACCACAGAACCUCUGAUAAAGCAGUUCCGGACUGAUAGCAUGUGGGGGUACUUGUCCUGAUCGACGACCCUGGUGUUCUCGAGCUUGAUGUUGAGGUACUGAUCCACCGAGUGAAGGGUCCCCCU